GCUGGGUGUGGUGGCACACACCUGUAAUCCCAGCUACUUGGGAGGCUGAGGCAGAAGAAUCACUUGAACCCAGGAGGUGGAGGUUGCAGUGAGCCAAGUUCACGCCACUACACUCCAGCCUGGGUGACAGAGUGAGACUCUGUCUCAA
This 148-nucleotide non-coding RNA is filed under the name Gorilla gorilla gorilla (western lowland gorilla). Lineage: Eukaryota; Metazoa; Chordata; Mammalia; Primates; Hominidae. The record is from Rfam by way of RNAcentral.